This 410-nucleotide long non-coding RNA is filed under the name Amborella trichopoda. Its description in RNAcentral is "long non-coding RNA (ATRI_LNC001341)". The record is from RNAcentral. Lineage: Eukaryota; Viridiplantae; Streptophyta; Magnoliopsida; Amborellales; Amborellaceae.
GAAAAUGGUUUUAUAGGCUUAACAAAAUAAAUAAAGCCUCACUCAAUACUCAUCGAAAAAUGCAAUUUUGCAUCACAUAACCUUUAAAAUGAUCAUCUCGACCUUAAUAAUUAUGAUUGUGAAAAAAAUUAGAAUAUCAAUCUCUAAAAAUAAUGUAUAUUGUAACAAAUUUCUAGACCAUUUAUUUUGCUCAAAAAAUAAAUAUUCACAUAUCUGCAAGAUCUAUACCCUUUUUUUACUUACAAAUUUCAUAAUCAUAUUAGAAAAAUGAUUUUAGUGCCUUUAUAAAAAAUAUUUAUGCCCUGAGAACUUUCAAAUUUCAUAGUCAUAUUAGAAAAAUGAUUUUAGUGCCAUCAUGAAAAAAUUUUAUACCCUAAGUACUUUCAUACGAGAAUAUGAAGUGAGGCUUU